RNA transcript from Triticum aestivum (bread wheat), 1460 nucleotides. RefSeq lists it as uncharacterized. The record is from RefSeq and is a predicted model, not a curated record. The transcript has 4 exons. Lineage: Eukaryota; Viridiplantae; Streptophyta; Magnoliopsida; Poales; Poaceae.
AUGUGCGCGGAAAAUGGGCAGAAGCAACUGGUUACUGGUGGUGCACUGCGGCGGCAGCAGCAACAUGUAGCCCCAUGGUGUCCCUUCCUGCUGGGCGCCGCCGUGGCCACCGGUCUGCGUCCUCUUCUUCAUGUCGCUCCAGCCCCGGCCGCAGCCUCGUCGACGUCGCCGCAUGAGCCACAACAACGGCACCGCCGCCCAGCACCACCACCACCUGCGCUCCGUCGCCGAGACGCCGACGCCGCCCGCAACCUCUCCGUCGUCGUCGCGGCUCCGGCACCCGCCCCCGUCCAGGCGUCGCCGUACGGGGACCUGGAGGAGGUGCUGGCGCGGGCGGCGACGGCGGACCGGACGGUGAUCAUGACGCAGAUCAACGCGGCGUGGACCAAGCCGGGGUCGCUGCUGGACCUCUUCUUCGAGAGCUUCCGCACCGGGGAGGGCGGCGUGGCGCGCCUGCUCGACCACCUCGUCAUCGUCACCAUGGACCCGGCCGCGUACGCGGGGUGCCAGCUCGUGCACCCGCACUGCUAUUUUCUGAGGACGACCGGCGUCGACUACCGCGGCGAGAAGUUCUUCAUGAGCAAGGACUACCUCGAGAUGAUGUGGGGCCGCAACAAGUUCCAGCAGACCAUCCUCCAGCUCGGAUACAACUUCCUCUUCACGGACGUGGACGUGAUGUGGUUCCGUGACCCGUUCAAGCACAUCUCCAUGGGGGCGGACAUCGCCAUCUCCAGCGACGUCUUCAUGGGCGACCCCUACAGCCUCGGCAACUUCCCCAACGGCGGCUUCCUCUUCGUGCGCUCCUGCAACAAGACCAUCGAGUUCUACCGCCACUGGCAGGCGGGGCGCUACCGCUUCUUCGGCAAGCACGAGCAGGACGUGUUCAACCUCAUCAAGCACGACAUGACGGACCGCCUCGGCGUCGCCAUCCAGUUCCUCGACACCACCUACAUCAGCGGCUUCUGUCAGCUCAGCAGGGACCUCAACAAGAUCUGCACCCUGCACGCCAACUGCUGCGUCGGGCUCGGGGCCAAGCUCCAUGAUUUGAGGAAUGUGCUGGACGUGUGGAGGAACUACACGGCGGCGCCGGUGCCGGACAAGAGGGCCGGCAAGUUCCAGUGGAAGGUACCCGGGAUAUGCAUCCACUGAUCCAACUCAUGGAUGAGUUCGUGCAUUUGGUUGCCCAUUCUUUCUGCUCUUCUUGCUUGCCUGCUUCUUCUCGUGGAAAGAGAUGGAGGGGAUUGAGAGGGGCAGCAUCGAUCGAUUGAUUCAUUUUGUGAAAUCAUUUCAGCUAGAUGAUUAUUAGUAAGUUAUUAUACUAUAUAUGUACACAAACAUAUACACAGAGUAGUAGUACUCCAGUAUGCGUGCAGCACAUGCAUGCAUGUAUGCUGGUCCUGGCCGACUCCUCCUGGCCUGUAAUUAAAGAUGAAUGAGUAAAGCAGUAGCUUGUUUAUGCA